AGCCUAAGCGUGCCCUAGUAACCUUCGCAAAAAGGAAGAGAGGGGUUCCCCUUUUGGCCCUGGCCCAGUGACUUUGCUGUUUCUUCCUUGGAGAGACCUGGCUUUGGGCGAUGGGGGGAUAAGGGGAUUAGAGCAGUGGCUCUCAUAGGGUGGUCUGAGGGGCCCUGUGGGUCCGAAGAUCCUUUCAAAACUAGUUUCAUAGUAAUGGUAGGAUUUCGUUUCCCUUUCUUAACUCUCGCUGAAAUUUUCCAGAGAACUGAUGUGUGAUGACGUCAUCGCUCUCAUGACUAAAGGAAUGUGUGCUUGUAUUGUGUUUUCUAGAAUUUCCUAAGCUUCCAGAAUGUUCCACAUUUGUUGAAAACUACAAACAAACAUAUCCAAGAAUCCCAGUGAAUGCCAAGCAGCAUAAACACAAAGAAAACCACAUCAAGGCACUGCGGAAUCAAAUUUCUCAAAACUAGUGAUGCAGAGAAAAUCUUAAGUUAAGACUAAUCACUGGUUUCUCAUCAAAAACUAUGCAAACCAGAAGAUGGUGGAACAACAUCUCUAAAGCAUGGGAAGAAUGCUUUCAACCCAGAAUUUUAUAUCCAGUGAAAAUGUCCUUCAAAGAUGAAGGCAAAAUGAAGACAUUUCAGAUAAGCGAAAGCCAAGAGCAUUCAUCACUAGUGAACUUGUACCACAAGGAAUGCUAAAAGAAGUUCUUCAGGUUAAAGGAAAAUGAUACCAGAUGGACACAAGAAUCUAUGCAAAGGAAUGAAGAGUACCAGAAAUGUUUUCUGACAUCAGAAGUGGUAUCCAAAGAAGACCCUCAACAACUCUGAGGCCAGUGAGCAACCACGUGCUGGUACCCACUGGGCCCAUUGAGCUCACCACUUUCUUGCCAACCUUGCAGUCAGCCUGAAUGUUGCUCUCUUUGCAUGUUGAGCUCUCGGAAUUUAUUGUGCAUACCCGUAUUCUGUUUGUUGAAGCUUCUUGAAGAAGAAAGGAAAAAGAAGAAGGCAAAACCUUAAUGAAUAUAGAAAGAUGCAAAAGGCAAAAUGCUUCAUCUUCAAAGAGAUUUAUGGAAAAGAUAUUAACAAGUACUCUAGAAUACAAGUUUCUGAUAACUUUAAGAUCAUAACACUGAACUGGGUAAGAAUUUCUAAGACUCUACUGGAAAAGUGAUUGGUUCAUAAAGGUACUAACCCAAGAUGAAGCAAAACAAAAAUUAAUUACAGGAGACUGAAUGAACUGAUGAAGAUGAUUAUAACUUUUAUGACUUCAUUUUAAAUAUUGCUGGUUGUUUAAUGUUUUGUUUUCCAGAUUUAAAGGACUCCUUUUGCUCCUCUCUUUUAAGCUAUUGAUAUUUAUAACUUGACAGCAAUUUGAGAAAGUAUACUUUUGUAAACAAAAGUUGAAACAUUUAUCUUUUUCUCCCUACCUAAUCCCUCCAGAAUUCAGAAACUCUUAUUAAAUACUCUUCUUUUCAUGACAA
Molecule: long non-coding RNA, 1474 nt
Organism: Lagenorhynchus albirostris (white-beaked dolphin)
Lineage: Eukaryota; Metazoa; Chordata; Mammalia; Artiodactyla; Delphinidae
Exons: 5
Source: RefSeq, a predicted model, not a curated record